This 447-nucleotide ribosomal RNA is filed under the name uncultured bacterium. RNAcentral describes it as "partial 16S ribosomal RNA". It matches the Rfam family "Bacterial small subunit ribosomal RNA", at positions 29 to 507 of the family's 1533-position model. The record is from RNAcentral.
AACGAACGCUAUCGGUAUGCUUAACACAUGCAAGUCGGACGGACUAAUUAGGGCUUGCUCCAAUUAGUUAGUGGCAGACGGGUGAGUAACACGUGGGAAUCUGCCCAUCAGUACGGAAUAACUUUUAGAAAUAAAAGCUAAUACCGUAUAUUCUCUACAGAGGAAAGAUUUAUCGCUGAUGGAUGAGCCCGCGUCAGAUUAGGUAGUUGGUGAGGUAACGGCUCACCAAGCAGAGGAUCUGUAGCUGGUCUGAGAGGAUGAUCAGCCACACUGGGACUGAGACACGGCCCAGACUCCUACGGGAGGCAGCAGUGGGGAAUAUUGGACAAUGGGCGAAAGCCUGAUCCAGCAAUACCGAGUGAGUGAUAAAGGCCCUAGGGUUGUAAAGCUCUUUUAGCAAGGAAGAUAAUGACGUUACUUGCAGAAAAAGCCCCGGCUAACUCCGUG